RNAcentral lists this ribosomal RNA (475 nucleotides) under uncultured bacterium. RNAcentral's name for it is "bacterial SSU rRNA". It matches the Rfam family "Bacterial small subunit ribosomal RNA", at positions 355 to 827 of the family's 1533-position model. The record is from RNAcentral.
UGAGGAAUAUUGGUCAAUGGUCGAGAGACUGAACCAGCCAAGUCGCGUGAAGGAAGACGGCGCUACGCGUUGUAAACUUCUUUUUCAGGGGAAUAAAAAAGGUUACGAGUAACCUGUUGCAUGUACCCUGCGAAUAAGCAUCGGCUAACUCCGUGCCAGCAGCCGCGGUAAUACGGAGGAUGCGAGCGUUAUCCGGAUUUAUUGGGUUUAAAGGGUGCGUAGGCGGGUUUUCAAGUCAGCGGUGAAAUUUUCCGGCUUAACCGGAGCAGUGCCGUUGAAACUGAGGAUCUUGAGUACAGACGAGGCAGGCGGAAUGUGUAGUGUAGCGGUGAAAUGCAUAGAUAUUACACAGAACACCGAUAGCGAAGGCAGCUUGCUGGUAUGUCACUGACGCUGAGGCACGAAAGUGUGGGGAUCAAACAGGAUUAGAUACCCUGGUAGUCCACACAGUAAACGAUGAUUACUGGUUGUAUGC